This 450-nucleotide ribosomal RNA is filed under the name uncultured bacterium. Its description in RNAcentral is "partial 16S ribosomal RNA". It matches the Rfam family "Bacterial small subunit ribosomal RNA", at positions 354 to 796 of the family's 1533-position model. The record is from RNAcentral.
GUGGGGAAUCUUCCGCAAUGGACGAAAGUCUGACGGAGCAACGCCGCGUGAACAAUGACGGCCUUCGGGUUGUAAAGUUCUGUUAUACGGGACGAAUGGUACGACGGCCAAUACCCGUCGUAAGUGACGGUACCGUAAGAGAAAGCCACGGCUAACUACGUGCCAGCAGCCGCGGUAAUACGUAGGUGGCAAGCGUUGUCCGGAAUUAUUGGGCGUAAAGGGCGCGCAGGCGGCGUCGUAAGUCGGUCUUAAAAGUGCGGGGCUUAACCCCGUGAGGGGACCGAAACUGCGAUGCUAGAGUAUCGGAGAGGAAAGCGGAAUUCCCCGUGUAGCGGUGAAAUGCGUAGAUAUGGGGAGGAACACCAGUGGCGAAGGCGGCUUUCUGGACGGUGUCUGACACUGAGGCGCGAAAGCCAGGGGAGCGAACGGGAUUAGAAACCCGUGUAGUCC